CCCAGACAGCCAGGAUGUUGGCUUAGAAGCAGCCAUCAUUUAAAGAAAGCGUAAUAGCUCACUGGUCGAGUCGGCCUGCGCGGAAGAUGUAACGGGGCUAAACCAUGCACCGAAGCUGCGGCAGCGAACGUAUCACUUAAAGCGAUUCAGCGGAUGACGAUUGACGGAGCGAAGCGACGUCAAAGCGUAUACAAAGUCGAGUCGGUUUAAGGAUACGUUCGUUGGGUAGGGGAGCGUUCUGUAAGCCUGUGAAGGUGGCCUGUGAGGGUUGCUGGAGGUAUCAGAAGUGCGAAUGCUGACAUAAGUAACGAUAAAGCGGGUGAAAAGCCCGCUCGCCGGAAGACCAA
RNAcentral lists this ribosomal RNA (347 nucleotides) under Salmonella enterica subsp. enterica serovar Senftenberg. RNAcentral's name for it is "partial 23S ribosomal RNA". It matches the Rfam family "Bacterial large subunit ribosomal RNA", at positions 1084 to 1348 of the family's 2925-position model. The record is from RNAcentral. Lineage: Bacteria; Pseudomonadati; Pseudomonadota; Gammaproteobacteria; Enterobacterales; Enterobacteriaceae.